Molecule: transfer RNA, 68 nt
Filed under: Spizellomyces sp. 'palustris'
Lineage: Eukaryota; Fungi; Chytridiomycota; Chytridiomycetes; Spizellomycetales; Spizellomycetaceae
Description: tRNA-Met
Rfam family: tRNA
About the family: Transfer RNA (tRNA) molecules are approximately 80 nucleotides in length. Their secondary structure includes four short double-helical elements and three loops (D, anti-codon, and T loops).
Source: RNAcentral
UCCGGUAUUGUAAUGGUAGCAUCCUAGGCUCAUAACCUGGUAGUGUAGGUUCAACUCCUGCCCGGACU